RNAcentral lists this long non-coding RNA (237 nucleotides) under Fragaria vesca (wild strawberry). Its description in RNAcentral is "long non-coding RNA (FVES_LNC003301)". Lineage: Eukaryota; Viridiplantae; Streptophyta; Magnoliopsida; Rosales; Rosaceae. The record is from RNAcentral.
AGUGUAAUAUUGGAGUGGCUUAAGAGGGAAGUUAGAGAAGAUUGUACAGUAGAGCAAGGGUUUCAGGUAUCAAACUGGGUUCAUGCCCCUCACACAUUUCAUUUGUCUACAUGUUAUUGGCGUUUCAUUUAUCAUCUGGACAAACAAGUCAUGGAAGUGGUACCAAUAUGACCUUUCACUGAUCUGAAUGUGAUAAAGGCCCUUUGUCUAUAUGCCUGUGGACUUUAUCAUCUGGGG